GGGGUGUCAUGAGAAGACCCUUUUCCCUGUAGAACACUUGUGAGUCUUGAAAGGUUCAAGAUGUAACUUUUCCCAUCAUCCUGUGCUUCUCUUCUAGAUGUCAGCCAGGAAGAAUCUCCCUCCCUAAUAGCAGGAAAUCCACAAGGACCAUCCCCACAAGGAGGCAACAAGCCCCAGGGCCCCCCACCUCCUCCAGGAAAGCCACAAGGACCACCCCCACAAGGAGGCAACAAACCUCAAGGUCCCCCACCUCCAGGAAAGCCACAAGGACCACCCCCACAAGGGGACAAGUCCCGAAGUCCCCGAUCUCCUCCAGGAAAACCACAAGGACCACCCCCACAAGGAGGCAACCAGCCCCAAGGUCCCCCACCUCCUCCAGGAAAGCCACAAGGACCACCCCCACAAGGAGGCAACAAACCUCAAGGUCCCCCACCUCCAGGAAAGCCACAAGGACCACCCGCACAAGGAGGCAGCAAGUCCCAAAGUGCCCGAUCUCCUCCAGGAAAGCCACAAGGACCACCCCAACAAGAAGGCAACAAUCCUCAAGGUCCCCCACCUCCAGCAGGAGGCAAUCCCCAGCAGCCUCAGGCACCUCCUGCUGGACAGCCCCAGGGACCACCACGCCCUCCUCAAGGGGGCAGACCUUCCAGACCUCCCCAGUGACAGCCUCCCCAGUCAUCUAGGAUUCAAUGACAGGAAGUGAAUAAGAAGAUGAGAGUGAUUCAAAUGAUUCAAAUUCCAUGACAUUGGAAAAAGGUCAUCAUAGCUCUAACUUCAAUAUACCAAUAAAAUAAUCAGCUUGCAAUUUC
This 809-nucleotide long non-coding RNA is filed under the name Homo sapiens (human). Its description in RNAcentral is "HSALNT0366787". Lineage: Eukaryota; Metazoa; Chordata; Mammalia; Primates; Hominidae. The record is from RNAcentral.